This 478-nucleotide ribosomal RNA is filed under the name Paenibacillus sp. oral taxon E29. Its description in RNAcentral is "bacterial SSU rRNA". It matches the Rfam family "Bacterial small subunit ribosomal RNA", at positions 28 to 496 of the family's 1533-position model. The record is from RNAcentral. Lineage: Bacteria; Bacillati; Bacillota; Bacilli; Caryophanales; Paenibacillaceae.
GACGAACGCGGCGGCGUGCCUAACACAUGCAAGUCGAGCGGACUUCAUCCUUCGGGGUGAGGUAGCGGCGGACGGGUGAGUAACACGUAGGCAACCUGCCCUCGAGACUGGGAUAACCUCCGGAAACGGAUGCUAAUACCAGAUACGCGGUCUUCCCUCCUGGGGAGAUCGGGAAAGACGGAGCAAUCUGUUACUCGGGGAUGGGCCUGCGGCGCAUUAGCUAGUUGGUGAGGUAACGGCUCACCAAGGCGACGAUGCGUAGCCGACCUGAGAGGGUGAUCGGCCACACUGGGACUGAGACACGGCCCAGACUCCUACGGGGGGCAGCAGUAGGGAAUCUUCCGCAAUGGACGAAAGUCUGACGGAGCAACGCCGCGUGAGUGAGGAAGGCCCUCGGGUCGUAAAGCUCUGUUGCCAGGGAAGAACGCUUGGGAGAGUAACUGCUCCCAAGGUGACGGACCUGAGAAGAAAGCCCGCA